GUAAGCUCUUUCAGUAGGGAAGAAGCGAAGUGACGGUACCUGCAGAAGAAGCGCCGGCUAACUACGUGCCAGCAGCCGCGGUAAUACGUAGGGCGCAAGCGUUAUCCGGAAUUAUUGGGCGUAAAGAGCUCGUAGGCGGUUUGUCGCGUCUGCCGUGAAAGUCCGGGGCUUAACUCCGGAUCUGCGGUGGGUACGGGCAGACUUGAGUGAUGUAGGGGAGACUGGAAUUCCUGGUGUAGCGGUGAAAUGCGCAGAUAUCAGGAGGAACACCGAUGGCGAAGGCAGGUCUCUGGGCAUUAACUGACGCUGAGGAGCGAAAGCAUGGGGAGCGAACAGGAUUAGAUACCCUGGUAGUCCAUGCCGUAAACGUUGGGCACUAGGUGUGGGGGACAUUCCACGUUUUCCGCGCCGUAGCUAACGCAUUAAGUGCCCCGCCUGGGGAGUACGGCCGCAAGGCUAAAACUCAAAGGAAUUGACGGGGGCCCGCACAAGCGGCGGAGCAUGCGGAUUAAUUCGAUGCAACGCGAAGAACCUUACCAAGGCUUGACAUGAACCGGAACGGCGCAGAGAUGUGUCGGCCACUUGUGGCCGGUUUACAGGUGGUGCAUGGUUGUCGUCAGCUCGUGUCGUGAGAUGUUGGGUUAAGUCCCGCAACGAGCGCAACCCUCGUUCCAUGUUGCCAGCGGGUUAUGCCGGGGACUCAUGGGAGACUGCCGGGGUCAACUCGGAGGAAGGUGGGGACGACGUCAAAUCAUCAUGCCCCUUAUGUCUUGGGCUUCACGCAUGCUACAAUGGCCGGUACAAAGGGUUGCGAUGCUGUGAGGUGGAGCUAAUCCCAAAAAGCCGGUCUCAGUUCGGAUUGAGGUCUGCAACUCGACCUCAUGAAGUCGGAGUCGCUAGUAAUCGCAGAUCAGCAACGCUGCGGUGAAUACGUUCCCGGGCCUUGUACACACCGCCCGUCAAGUCACGAAAGUUGGUAACACCCGAAGUU
RNAcentral lists this ribosomal RNA (991 nucleotides) under Arthrobacter tecti. RNAcentral's name for it is "bacterial SSU rRNA". It matches the Rfam family "Bacterial small subunit ribosomal RNA", at positions 425 to 1428 of the family's 1533-position model. The record is from RNAcentral. Lineage: Bacteria; Bacillati; Actinomycetota; Actinomycetes; Micrococcales; Micrococcaceae.